RNAcentral lists this ribosomal RNA (390 nucleotides) under uncultured bacterium. RNAcentral's name for it is "bacterial SSU rRNA". It matches the Rfam family "Bacterial small subunit ribosomal RNA", at positions 527 to 916 of the family's 1533-position model. The record is from RNAcentral.
AGAGGGUGCAAGCGUUAAUCGGAUUUACUGGGCGUAAAGCGUGCGUAGGCGGUUCGUUAAGUCGAUUGUGAGAGCCCUGGGCUUAACCUGGGAAUUGCAGUCGAUACUGGCGGACUAGAGAACGGUAGAGGGAGGCGGAACUCCAGGUGUAGCGGUGAAAUGCGUAGAUAUCUGGAAGAACACCGAUGGCGAAGGCAACCUCCUGGGCCUGUUCUGACGCUGAGGCACGAAAGCGUGGGUAGCAAACAGGAUUAGAUACCCUGGUAGUCCACGCUGUAAACGAUGAGAACUUGACGUCGGGUCGCUUAGCGAUUCGGUGUCGAAGCUAACGCGCUAAGUUCUCCGCCUGGGGAGUACGGCCGCAAGGUUGAAACUCAAAGGAAUUGACGG